CCUACGGGGGGCAGCAGUGGGGAAUAUUGGACAAUGGGGGGAACCCUGAUCCAGCCAUGCCGCGUGUGUGAAGAAGGCCCUCGGGUUGUAAAGCACUUUCAGUGAGGAAGAACGCCUGGUGGUUAAUACCCAUCAGGAAAGACAUCACUCACAGAAGAAGCACCGGCUAACUCCGUGCCAGCAGCCGCGGUAAUACGGCGGGUGCGCGCGUUAAUCGGAAUUACUGGGCGUAAAGCGCGCGUAGGUGGCUUGAUAAGCCGGUUGUGAAAGCCCCGGGCUCAACCUGGGAACGGCAUCCGGAACUGUCAAGCUAGAGUGCAGGAGAGGAAGGUAGAAUUCCCGGUGUAGCGGUGAAAUGCGUAGAGAUCGGGAGGAAUACCAGUGGCGAAGGCGGCCUUCUGGACUGACACUGACACUGAGGUGCGAAAGCGUGGGUAGCAAACAGGAUUAGAUACCCGUGUAGUC
RNAcentral lists this ribosomal RNA (465 nucleotides) under Vreelandella stevensii. RNAcentral describes it as "partial 16S ribosomal RNA". It matches the Rfam family "Bacterial small subunit ribosomal RNA", at positions 338 to 795 of the family's 1533-position model. Lineage: Bacteria; Pseudomonadati; Pseudomonadota; Gammaproteobacteria; Oceanospirillales; Halomonadaceae. The record is from RNAcentral.